GUUUCUAGCACAUUCCGUCCCAGGGGAUGUGGACCUGCUGUCCCAGGGCUCCUUCUCGGUGCUCACGAUUACGGAGAGGGCAGGAAGGAAAGGAAAGCAGACAUGCGACAGCCGAGUGGAGUUGCCAGACUGGGGAUGUAUGGCCCUCCUGGACCAGCAUGAGGGACCUCUGCAAAACCCAACUCGGGUCUGAUCCCCAGACCCGUGUGUGAAGAGAACGCUCCGUUUAAGUGAUGCUGCGAUGGUGCCGAAAAGUAGUCUAUGACCUGGUCCGCGUGCUUAAUAACGUCUGUCCUGUUGGUGGCCCGAGAGCUCUGUUCUAGGAGAAGAAACGACGAAAAAUGGGCUACAAAGUGCUUCAGUCAUUCGACAAGAACGUGCUCUGUCUUACGUCUGUGUCUCCCAAACAGGACUUUUCCUGGUAUAAUAGUGUCUUCCCUUUAAUAAAUAGAUUUAAUCCAGUUAUAUUUGGGAGGAUUAUGAAUAUUGUGACAUAGGUUUCCACAAUCUUCGCCAGGCAGCACUGGAGAAUACGACUCCCAAGAUGACAUACCUUUGCCAGUAAUCAAAGCCAGUGACUUGACGACUCAGGUGAUUCAUCUUAACCAAAAGAAAGAUUUGUGCCGUUCUGGACAACAAAAAGUUUGCAAAACUAUGAUUGAUUGCUUCAUUUCAUCAGCCUCCUCUUUGCUGGUCAUGAUGUCAGUCUUCCUUGGCAUCAAUUUCAGGUAAUCACUGAGCUUUCUGAAGCUUUUUGUUUGCAUAUUUGUUUUCGGGCAGAUAGAGUGUGACUU
Long non-coding RNA from Mustela erminea (ermine), 794 nucleotides. RefSeq lists it as uncharacterized. The record is from RefSeq and is a predicted model, not a curated record. Lineage: Eukaryota; Metazoa; Chordata; Mammalia; Carnivora; Mustelidae. The transcript has 4 exons.